UCUUUGACUCUCUUUU
RNAcentral lists this small RNA (16 nucleotides) under Arabidopsis thaliana (thale cress). RNAcentral's name for it is "ATSL080240". Lineage: Eukaryota; Viridiplantae; Streptophyta; Magnoliopsida; Brassicales; Brassicaceae. The record is from RNAcentral.